UUCCCUAGUACGGCGAGUGACCGGGAAGAGCUCAAAUUUGAAAUCUGGCGUGCUCAGUGCGUCCGAGUUGUAAUCUAUAGAGUCGUUUUCCGUGCCGGACUGUGUCCAAGUCCCUUGGAACAGGGUAUCAAAGAGGGUGAUAAUCCCGUACUUGACACAAUGACCGGUGCUCUGUGAUACGUCUUCUACGAGUCGAGUUGUUUGGGAAUGCAGCUCAAAAUGGGUGGUGAGUUCCAUCUAAAGCUAAAUAUUGGCGAGAGACCGAUAGCGAACAAGUACCGUGAGGGAAAGAUGAAAAGCACUUUGGAAAGAGAGUUAAACAGUACGUGAAAUUGUUAAAAGGGAAACGAUUGAAGUCAGUCGUGACUGAGAGGCUCAGCCGGUUCUGCCGGUGUAUUCCCCUCAGUCGGGUCAACAUCAGUUUUGUUCGGUGGAUAAGGGCAGUUGGAAGGUGGCACCCUCGGGUGUGUUAUAGCCAGCUGUCGCAUACAUCGGAUGAGACUGAGGAAUGCAGCUCGCCUUUAUGGCCGGGGUUCGCCCACGUUCGAGCUUAGGAUGUUGACAUAAUGGCUUUAAACGACCCGUCUUGAAACACGGACCA
RNAcentral lists this ribosomal RNA (601 nucleotides) under Papiliotrema flavescens. Its description in RNAcentral is "eukaryotic LSU rRNA". It matches the Rfam family "Eukaryotic large subunit ribosomal RNA", at positions 76 to 668 of the family's 3401-position model. The record is from RNAcentral. Lineage: Eukaryota; Fungi; Basidiomycota; Tremellomycetes; Tremellales; Rhynchogastremaceae.